AUUGAACGCUGGCGGCAUGCCUAACACAUGCAAGUCGAACGGUGCCUUCGGGCACAGUGGCGCACGGGUGAGUAACACGUGGGAACCUGCCUUUCGGUUCGGAAUAACGUUUGGAAACGAACGCUAACACCGGAUACGCCCUUCGGGGGAAAGUUUACGCCGAGAGAGGGGCCCGCGUCGGAUUAGGUAGUUGGUGAGGUAACGGCUCACCAAGCCGACGAUCCGUAGCUGGUCUGAGAGGAUGAUCAGCCACACUGGGACUGAGACACGGCCCAGACUCCAACGGGAGGCAGCAGUGGGGAAUAUUGGACAAUGGGCGCAAGCCUGAUCCAGCAAUGCCGCGUGAGUGAUGAAGGCCUUAGGGUUGUAAAGCUCUUUCGCACGCGACGAUGAUGACGGUAGCGUGAGAAGAAGCCCCGGCUAACUUCGUGCCAGCCGCCGCGUAA
RNAcentral lists this ribosomal RNA (446 nucleotides) under uncultured bacterium. RNAcentral's name for it is "partial 16S ribosomal RNA". It matches the Rfam family "Bacterial small subunit ribosomal RNA", at positions 30 to 522 of the family's 1533-position model. The record is from RNAcentral.